Molecule: non-coding RNA, 71 nt
Organism: Syngnathoides biaculeatus (alligator pipefish)
Lineage: Eukaryota; Metazoa; Chordata; Actinopteri; Syngnathiformes; Syngnathidae
Source: the annotation of a RefSeq genome assembly
GGCCCUGUAGCUCAGUGGUUAGAGCAUUGGUUUAGUAAACCAGGUUGUGGGUUCGUAUCCCACUGGGGCCU